Molecule: long non-coding RNA, 4606 nt
Filed under: Populus tremula
Lineage: Eukaryota; Viridiplantae; Streptophyta; Magnoliopsida; Malpighiales; Salicaceae
Description: long non-coding RNA (PTRE_LNC000916)
Source: RNAcentral
CGAGGAGAUAUUACAUUUCACCGAUUUGGUCAGAUCUUCAUUAUCCUUCAACCAUCCAGAUGAGGAGUGACGAACCGAUUGGAAAAUUUUAUAGCGCAACCAAGCUGCAUGAGGCAGCGAUUAAUUUUAAGGAAGUUCGAAAUGAAUGCUUACUUGACGUAAAAUUUUACUUCUACAAAAGUGAGUUACGUAUACCACGUCUUCAGAUAGACCACCACACUGAACUUCUCUUCGGAAAUCUCAUUGCCUUGGAGUGGUGUCAUUAUAAAGGAGAAGAGUACAUCUGCCAUUACGUUAAGCUACUUGAUACUCUUGUUGCCAAACCCAAAGAUGUGGCUCUCCUCAUUAAAAAUAAAUCAUUAAAACAGACAGAGAUGGUGCUUCAGUGAAGAAUCUGAUUGACAAGCUUUCGGCAGAAACUUCUGAAGAAUAUUCCAUUUACCUCUACAAGCAGCUGGAUCAACACUACCAGAAUCCUGGUUGAAAAAUAGCGCAUACUUUAGAGAGGUAUAUUUUGGAAACCUUUGGAGAAGUACUGCAACUGUUAGUGCAACUGUCUUGCUCCUCUCCACUCUUGUACAGACAAUUUGUGCAGUCCUUUCCUUGCGCUAGUACUCCAAGGGGACCAAGUUAGCCCCAAUCCGGUGUCAUUUUAUUUCUCUCAUUGUUGACUUUCGUUGUAUUGUUGUGUACUUUCCGUUUCCUUUGCAGUUUUUCAUUGUACUUCAACUCAUGGGCUUUCUUUGUAUUUAGUAUUCAUGACUUUGUAAUGGAUGCUGUCUUCACUAUCAAGUUCAUCCUGCAGAAUUCAACAAAUCUCCAUCGUAAAGAGUCAAAAAUUAUCUUAGGAAAGCAAAAAUUGAUAGUGAAGAUUAUCUUAGGACUUGAUACUACUCGAAAAUCAACUAACUUACUUCAUUGUUGAGAAACAGUAUGACAAGAGAUAUUACCCUACAUUUCUUCAGCUUAUCUAUAACUACCCUGCAGCGGAGGCAAAACCUCAUCCAAGGGAAGUAAGACAUUUCACUGAUUUGGUAAGGUGUUCUAUAUUGUUGAGAAAAUGAUGAUGAUGGUGAUGAUGAUAAGAUCAAUAGUGUAAAAGAAAAAUCCAACUGCUUUUAGCAGAAUUCAAGGUUGCCUUUCUAUGGUUGCACCUGUUGUCAUAGUACUAGGCAUUCAAAUCAACACAAAGAUCAUGAUAACAAGUAAAAUACUCAUUAAUUUGCUCGCAAAACAAUAAUAAUUAUUUUCAAGAGUAUUUUUAUUUUAAAAUAUAUAUAAAUAAUUUUUAAUAUCAACUGUUAAAUAAUAUUUUUCCUUACUUUUUUAUUUAAGUCAUUGAGAAUGUCUAUUAAUUUGAGUUAUUUUGAAUCUUUAUUACAAAGAAUAUUUUUAAUUAAAUUCUUUUGUCAAAACAAAAAAAUACAUAAAAAGGGCAAUGAAGACAUUGAUCUAAGAAAUGCUAUUUUUUUUUUUCUUUUAAAAUCCAAAUCUUUCUAACUCUUACGAAUAUUGAUUUUAAUUAUUAUAUGAUUAAAUAAAAAUUAGUUUUUGAAAUUACCCCCGCAACAUGAUGCUGGCGGAAAAGCUAUGUACGUUACUCUCUCUCUCUCUUUCGUCCUUUGACAGCUUGUUCAUUCCAGCAAAGAAACAACAGUGGGUGUGGUGGGGAUGGGACUUGGGAUUUUGGUGAACGAUGAUAAUCAGAUGUGGGGACAUUUUAUUAUAAAUAUUAUCUGAGCACCCUAUGGCAUAGCCCAUUGUAAUGAAGUGACUAAUGGCACGUAGGUGGGCCUUCAUUGAGUUCUUGGACUUGAUUUUUUUAAUAUUGUUUUUUAUAUUUUAAAGGGUUGAACAUCAAUUUUCUUUAAAAAAUACGUGAGCAAUAAGUCACCGGCUGAGGCAAGUAGCAUUUCAUCUACGAGCCUAAAUUUCUAACCACUAUGUGGAGUUGGUUGGAAAAUCAGGUUAAUAUUUUGUUUUUUCUUGAUAAAUUCAAUUUUUUAGCCAUUUGAAUUCAAAACACCUCAUGAAGAUUCUUGAAAUACUUAAAAAUCAAUUUAUCAAUCAAAAAUACUUUAAAGAUAUCCAAAAAUCCAAAAUUAAAUCAAGUUUGAUCUGACUUCCUCAUCUUAGAUAUGCUUUCAAAUAAUAUUGAGACUCUAAACAACAACAAUUAAGCCUUUUUUAUUGUAUGAAAUCUAAAAACAUGAAGAAAACUACUUUGAUGGUCGAUAAUAGUGUGAACAAUGACCUUCUUUUUCACCGCUAUACUUUAGCAAUCUCUCUCUCAUUUCUUUAAUCAAGGACUGAAAAUUAACACAAAUUAAUUUUUGUAUCAAAAUUGAAUAUGUGAUUUGAAGGGACCUAAAUUAUAUAAAUUAUAUUAUUUUUAAAGUUUGAGAACCUAAAUGUAUUUUUCGUAAAAACCCUAACAGGCCAUCUAUCUUUUGAUGUAUUUUUCAUUUCACUCCUUUUUUUCAAUUCCAUAAUCUUCCAUCUAUUUCACCUCUAUAUAUAUCAUCUCAUCAGCCUCUCGAGAGUCGACUUAUUUUAGAUAGAAAAAUAUUACUACCAGUCAAGAUCGAGGGAGCAAUGAGCUGGAUCCAUCUUUGCUUCUUGACAAUGACCCAUGCCGAGAAAAUACAGAGGAGAUGGAGAAUUAAUUAAUGGAGAGCAAUGCAAUCAGCUUUCAAAACGAGAGUAGUUUAUCUUGCCCUCCCUCUUGAAGCUUCAAAUGAAAUGGAUCUUUAAUGCCGUCGUUGUAAGGCCAAACUCGGUAACUAUACCGAGAUAUGGAUCAACUUUUUUUUUUUUUUUCUAAAAACAAAUUAAAAUUUAAAAUGCUAUUAUUUUAUUAAAAAAAUAGACAAUAUUUUAACUAAGCAAAGUUCUUAUCUUCUUCGAGUUAUUGAGUUAAACCAUAAGUCAGCUAGAUAUUACUUACUAAUUUAUCACUUAUCUUUUUGCACCAGGUUGGACAUAAGUUUUUUGAAAUAUAUAAAAAAAAUUUAGAUCAUCAGAAACUUUGAAGCAUUAUCAUUAAAUUUAGUAUAAUUGUUUAAAUUUAAAAAAUCUUAAUUUGACUAUUUUUUUAAAUAUUUAGUUAGUGUUUCAAGCUCGCAACAUGAAUUAUGUAUUCAAUUAACUUUGAUUAAUUUUUUUUUUAUUUGAUGAUAGAAAACAUAAAAAUUGAUUUAUCAUUAAAUCAAUACUCUUAGAUAAAAUUCAAUAAAAAUCUCAAAUUAAAUGAUGCAAUUAUAAAAAAAGGGGCAAAAGAUAUAAACAAAAGAGCCAAAAAAAUCUUGAUCCGAAUCUUUAAUUAAUAUUUAGCUAACUUUUAAUUUAAAUAUUGAUGCAAUGGACUUUACAUAUUGAUUUUUUUUAAUUUAUUAUAUGAUAAGACAAAAACUAAUUUACUAUUAAUCCAAUAUCAAUGAUAAAAUUUAAUAAAAAAUUCAUACUAAAUAAUGAAAUUUAAAAAAAAAAAAACAAUAUAAAAAAAUUAAAAAUCCCAACCAGACUUUUUAAUGAAUAUUUAAUUAACUCAUUAAAGCUACAAUUCUAGUUAUAAACUUUAUUGGUUUUAUUCAAGUUUUUAAUUUUAUUAUAUAAUAAAAAAUAAAAAAUUAAUUUAUUAUUAAGAAAACUAAGAUUGAAUAAAAACCCUUUAAUGAUAGGAGUAUGAAAAAAAAAUAUCCAAGAAAAAAAGCCCAGUCACCCUCAGCUUGUUCAUAGGAGCCAGGAAUGCGAACCUGAAAGUCGUCUCUGUUUGAUUUUAAAAAAAUAACAGCCACUGGCUUCUUUGCUACUGAAUUCUCGAUCGAAGAAGCAAAAUUAAAAAAAAAAAAAUCGAAUCCAAAACAGGAGUUAGUUGAAUUUGUUUUGACAAGAGAGAAAAGGAUAGUUAAACACAAAACAAGGAGAGAGAGAGAGAGAGAUGAGAGAUUUUUCAAUGGGGAACUUUUGACGAAAAAAAAGAAGAUAUUUUGAUGUAAAUUGCGGGGUCACAAAUUGAUUAUGAAUAUUAAGUUCUGUUUGGUAACGCAGUCUUCAAUUCUCCGUGUAUUUAAGAAAUACUGUUUUGUUUUGUUGGGUGUUUGAAAAUAUAGUUAUAAUUGCUUUUCAAAUAUAUUUUUACUAAAAAGAAUAUGUUAAUUUUUAUUUUUAAAAAAAUAUUUUUGAGAUUAGUACAUUAAAAUGAUUUGAAAACAUCAAAAAUAUAUUAAUAAAAAAAAAUUAAAUUUUUUAAAAAAUACUUUUAAAAUACAGCGCUAAACACGCUCCCACAGCAAACAACCAGAACUCCAGGUUGAAAAAUAGCGCAUACUUUAGAGAGGUAAUUUUGGAAACCUUUGGAGAAGUACUGCAACUGUUAGUGCAACUGUCUUGCUCCUCUUCACUCUUGUACAGACAAUUUGUGCAGUCCUUUCCUUGCGCUAGUACUCCAAGGGGACCAAGUUAGCCCCAAUCCGGUGUCAUUUUAUUUCUCUCAUUGUUGACUUUCGUUGUAUUGUUUGUGUACUUUCCGUUUCCUUUGCAGUUUUUCAUUGUACUUCAACUCAUGGGCUUUCUUUGUAUUUAGUAUUCAUGACUUUGUAAUGGA